GUUCACUUCAGUAAAACAUAUGUUGAAUUUGGAAUGAUACAGAGAAGAUUAGUAUGGCCCCUGCACAAGGAUGACAUGCAAAUUUGUAAAGUGUUCCACAAAACA
This 105-nucleotide small nuclear RNA is filed under the name Microcebus murinus (gray mouse lemur). The record is from RNAcentral. Lineage: Eukaryota; Metazoa; Chordata; Mammalia; Primates; Cheirogaleidae.